RNAcentral lists this unclassified non-coding RNA (236 nucleotides) under Helotiales sp. Its description in RNAcentral is "partial contains small subunit ribosomal RNA, internal transcribed spacer 1, and 5.8S ribosomal RNA". The stretch from base 1 to 46 matches the Rfam family "Eukaryotic small subunit ribosomal RNA", at positions 1786 to 1831 of the family's 1831-position model. Lineage: Eukaryota; Fungi; Ascomycota; Leotiomycetes; Helotiales. The record is from RNAcentral.
AAGUCGUAACAAGGUUUCCGUAGGUGAACCUGCGGAAGGAUCAUUACAGAGAACUUGCCCCUUGGGGUAGAUCUCCCACCCUUUGUUUACCAUACCUAUGUUGCUUUGGCAGGCCCGCCUUUGGGCCACCGGCCUUGGCUGGUCAGCGCCUGCCAGAGGAUCUCAAACUCUUGAUUUAGUGUUGUCUGAGUACUUGAUAAUAGUUAAAACUUUCAACAACGGAUCUCUUGGUUCUG